RNAcentral lists this ribosomal RNA (918 nucleotides) under Metapochonia suchlasporia. Its description in RNAcentral is "SSU rRNA". It matches the Rfam family "Eukaryotic small subunit ribosomal RNA", at positions 74 to 1002 of the family's 1831-position model. Lineage: Eukaryota; Fungi; Ascomycota; Sordariomycetes; Hypocreales; Clavicipitaceae. The record is from RNAcentral.
UUAUACAGCGAAACUGCGAAUGGCUCAUUAUAUAAGUUAUCGUUUAUUUGAUAGUACCUUACUACUUGGAUAACCGUGGUAAUUCUAGAGCUAAUACAUGCUAAAAAUCCCGACUUCGGAAGGGAUGUAUUUAUUAGAUUAAAAACCAAUGCCCUCUGGGCUCUCUGGUGAUUCAUGAUAACUUCUCGAAUCGCAUGGCCUUGCGCCGGCGAUGGUUCAUUCAAAUUUCUUCCCUAUCAACUUUCGAUGUUUGGGUAGUGGCCAAACAUGGUUGCAACGGGUAACGGAGGGUUAGGGCUCGACCCCGGAGAAGGAGCCUGAGAAACGGCUACUACAUCCAAGGAAGGCAGCAGGCGCGCAAAUUACCCAAUCCCGAUUCGGGGAGGUAGUGACAAUAAAUACUGAUACAGGGCUCUUUUGGGUCUUGUAAUUGGAAUGAGUACAAUUUAAAUCCCUUAACGAGGAACAAUUGGAGGGCAAGUCUGGUGCCAGCAGCCGCGGUAAUUCCAGCUCCAAUAGCGUAUAUUAAAGUUGUUGUGGUUAAAAAGCUCGUAGUUGAACCUUGGGCCUGGUUGGCCGGUCCGCCUCACCGCGUGUACUGGUCCGGCCGGGCCUUUCCCUCUGUGGAACCCCAUGCCCUUCACUGGGUGUGGCGGGGAAACAGGACUUUUACUUUGAAAAAAUUAGAGUGCUCCAGGCAGGCCUAUGCUCGAAUACAUUAGCAUGGAAUAAUAAAAUAGGACGUGCGGUUCUAUUUUGUUGGUUUCUAGGACCGCCGUAAUGAUUAAUAGGGACAGUCGGGGGCAUCAGUAUUCAAUUGUCAGAGGUGAAAUUCUUGGAUUUAUUGAAGACUAACUACUGCGAAAGCAUUUGCCAAGGAUGUUUUCAUUAAUCNGNAACGAAAGUUAGGGGAUCGAA